CCUACGGGAGGCAGCAGUGGGGAAUAUUGCACAAUGGGGGAAACCCUGAUGCAGCAACGCCGCGUGAGGGAGGAAGGAUUUCGGGAUGUAAAGCUCUAUUAGCAGGGAAGAGAAAAGAAGGUACCUGAAACAGAAGCCCCGGCUAACUACGUGCCAGCAGCCGCGGUAAUAUGUAGGGGGCACGCGUUAUCCGGAGUGACUGGGUGUAAAGGGAGCGUAGACGGGAAGGCAAGGCAGAAGUGAAAGCCCAAGGCUCAACCAGGGGACUGCUUUUGAAACUGUCAAACUAGAGUACGGGAGAGGUAAGCGGAAUUCCUAGUGUAGCGGUGAAAUGCGUAGAUAUUAGGAGGAACACCAGUGGCGAAGGCGUCUUACUGGACCGAAACUGACGUUGAGGCUCGAAAGCGUGGGGAGCAAACAGGAUUAGAUACCCUGGUAGUC
Molecule: ribosomal RNA, 441 nt
Filed under: uncultured bacterium
Lineage: Bacteria
Description: partial 16S ribosomal RNA
Rfam family: Bacterial small subunit ribosomal RNA
Source: RNAcentral